This 1086-nucleotide long non-coding RNA is filed under the name Anolis carolinensis (green anole). RNAcentral's name for it is "lncRNA (ENSACAG00000039837.1)". Lineage: Eukaryota; Metazoa; Chordata; Lepidosauria; Squamata; Anolidae. The record is from RNAcentral.
CUACCACCUCCUUGCACAAAAAGCCCACGGAAGGCAGACCUAGAGGAAACUUUUGCUCUUGGGCGGGUCUCGCCUUGGAAAGCAUCCCAGGGACGAGACCUCGGCCAUCCCCGUGGGGUCCAAGCAGCGAGGAGGAAGAGACGCCAGGCCGGGAGAAGAGGAAACUUUUGGACUCAGGAGGAAGAGCGGGGAGGACUGGAGACCAAGGGCAGAAGAAGAAGAAGAAGAAGCGGGAGGAGAAGGCAGAGAAGGAGCCCCCUCCGCGCCGCCCACCUGCCCCAAGCCCCUCUGCGCCUGCCCGCCUGCCUGCCUGGCCCGGCCUGCUCCCUUCUCCCCACUGACGGCCCUGGAGGGGAAGCGGGACCCCGCUGCGUGGAUGCAGCUGCUGCCACUGCUGCCCCUGCCGCCCGGUCUCUGGGGCUGCCCAUUCCUCCCCUCCCUUGCCUUACCUACGCGCAGGAGUCCAGCCUGGUGGCGCCGCGCGGGUUGUCAGCAGCCCCGGUGGGUGGGCGAGCAGGCGAGCGGGGGAAGCAGAGAGGGAGAGGAGAGAGGCUGGGCGAAGGCGAGCUGGACCCCAGAAGCAGCAGCAGCAUCCGCUCCUCCUCCUCCUCUUGCUGCUGCUGCUGCUCCUGCCGCCGCUCUCUCUCUCUCACUGACUGGCUGCUGCAAGGGACCGAGGCGAAAUUCUGGCGCCGAGGCCAAGCGCAGACAACGCGUUCGCCAGGUGCGUCGCAGAUCCCAGAAAGGCCCCUAAACGCCGCCCCUGAUACUCCAACGUUGGCAAGGUGCCCUCCUCUUGCUCACCUGGAGGAAAGGAGGCAGGAGAGCCCCAAACCCAGCCCUCCAGAACCCCUUGACUCUUCUAUGGGUCUCUUUCCUAUCUAUAAUAAUACAACUUUGUUUGUAGCCCGCCCUAUCUCUCCGAAGGGACCCAGGGCAGUUCUAUUUAUUAUUUAUUUAUUUACAGUAUUUAUAUUCCGUCCUUCUCACCCCGAAGGGGACUCAGGGCGGAUUACAAUGCACACACAUAUGGCAAACAUUCAAUGCAAACAUUCAACAUAUAUAGACAGACACAGAGGCAUUUAA